AUCUACUGCCAUACCACCCUGAAUGCGCCCAAUGUCAUUUGAUAUCAGAAGCUAAGCAGGGUCAGGCCUGGCUAGUACUUGAAUGGGAGAAAAUU
Molecule: ribosomal RNA, 95 nt
Organism: Bison bison bison
Lineage: Eukaryota; Metazoa; Chordata; Mammalia; Artiodactyla; Bovidae
Source: Ensembl